Molecule: long non-coding RNA, 186 nt
Organism: Drosophila virilis
Lineage: Eukaryota; Metazoa; Arthropoda; Insecta; Diptera; Drosophilidae
Source: RefSeq, a predicted model, not a curated record
CCACAAGAGUGAUAUGAAAUGUCUUCUGUGCUUCGUAUACUUUGCGGUCGUCAAAAUUGGCCAAGGAAUAAAUAAGUUUGGAAUUUGAAUCAUGUGCCGUCUGAUUUGCAUAUUGCUGCUACAAAAGAAACAAUGGGAAUGAUAUGAUAUAAGAUUUGAGUUCAAUAAACGAAUUAUUUGUCUAUA